GGCCUUUUGAAUUUAAUAUAAGGUCUGACCUGCCCAGUGAUAGUUUUAACGGCCGCGGUAUACUGACCGUGCAAAGGUAGCAUAAUCAUUAGUCUUUUAAUAGAGGGCUGGAAUGAAAGGUUUCACGAGGAACUGACUGUCUCAUUUUAUUUGUUUUAAAAUUUAAUUUUUUAGUUAAAAAGCUAAAAUUUUAUUGGUAGACGAGAAGACCCUAUAGAGCUUUACAUAUAUCUAAAUAAAUAUUUUUAUAUUAAUAUUUUUAUUUAUUUUUGUGUUUUGUUGGGGUGACAAAAAUAUAUAAUUAACUUUUUUAUUUAUUUUACAUUGAUUUAUGAAUAUUAGAUCCAAUAUUAUUGAUUAUUAGACUAAGUUACCUUAGGGAUAACAGCGUAAUCCUCCUCCAGAGUUCAUAUUUACAGGAUGGGCUUGCGACCUCGAUGUUGGAUUAAGAUAAUAAUUAGGUGUAGCCGCUUAAUUGAUAGGUCUGUUCGACCUUUAAAUUCUU
RNAcentral lists this ribosomal RNA (505 nucleotides) under Orthetrum melania. RNAcentral describes it as "partial 16S rRNA". It matches the Rfam family "Bacterial large subunit ribosomal RNA", at positions 1819 to 2597 of the family's 2925-position model. Lineage: Eukaryota; Metazoa; Arthropoda; Insecta; Odonata; Libellulidae. The record is from RNAcentral.